This 232-nucleotide ribosomal RNA is filed under the name uncultured bacterium. Its description in RNAcentral is "partial 16S ribosomal RNA". It matches the Rfam family "Bacterial small subunit ribosomal RNA", at positions 524 to 755 of the family's 1533-position model. The record is from RNAcentral.
UACGUAGGUGGCAAGCGUUAAUCGGAAUUACUGGGCGUAAAGCGUGCGCAGGCGGUUUUGUAAGUUUGUCGUGAAAUCCCCGGGCUUAACCUGGGAAUUGCGAUGAAGACUGCAAGGCUAGAAUCUGGCAGAGGGGGGUAGAAUUCCACGUGUAGCAGUGAAAUGCGUAGAGAUGUGGAGGAACACAGAUGGCGAAGGCAGCCCCCUGGGUCAAGAUUGACGCUCAUGCAUG